GACGAACGCUGGCGGCGUGCUUAACACAUGCAAGUCGAACGGAAAGGCCCUGCUUUUGUGGGGUGCUCGAGUGGCGAACGGGUGAGUAACACGUGAGUAACCUGCCCUUGACUUUGGGAUAACUUCAGGAAACUGGGGCUAAUACCGGAUAGGAGCUCCUGCUGCAUGGUGGGGGUUGGAAAGUUUCGGCGGUUGGGGAUGGACUCGCGGCUUAUCAGCUUGUUGGUGGGGUAGUGGCUUACCAAGGCUUUGACGGGUAGCCGGCCUGAGAGGGUGACCGGCCACAUUGGGCCUGAGAUACGGCCCAGACUCCUACGGGAGGCAGCAGUGGGGAAUAUUGCACAAUGGGCGGAAGCCUGAGGCAGCAACGCCGCGUGCGGGAUGACGGCCUUCGGGUUGUAAACCGCUUUCGCCUGUGACGAAGCGUGAGUGACGGUAAUGGGUAAAGAAGCACCGGCUAACUACGUG
RNAcentral lists this ribosomal RNA (468 nucleotides) under uncultured bacterium. RNAcentral's name for it is "partial 16S ribosomal RNA". It matches the Rfam family "Bacterial small subunit ribosomal RNA", at positions 28 to 507 of the family's 1533-position model. The record is from RNAcentral.